This 459-nucleotide ribosomal RNA is filed under the name uncultured bacterium. RNAcentral describes it as "partial 16S ribosomal RNA". It matches the Rfam family "Bacterial small subunit ribosomal RNA", at positions 338 to 795 of the family's 1533-position model. The record is from RNAcentral.
CCUACGGGAGACAGCAGUGAGGAAUAUUGGUCAAUGGACGAGAGUCUGAACCAGCCAAGCAGCGUGAAGGAUGACUGCCCUAUGGGUUGUAAACUUCUUUUAUAAAAGGAUAAAACGAGGCACGUGUGCCUGGUUGCAAGUACUUUAUGAAUAAGGAUCGGCUAACUCCGUGCCAGCAGCCGCGGUAAUACGGAGGAUCCAAGCGUUAUCCGGAUUUAUUGGGUUUAAAGGGGACGUAGAUGGGUGGUUAAGUCAGUUGUGAAAGUCUGCGGCUCAAGCGUACAAUUGCACUGAUUACUGCGGUCUAGAGUUUAGUUGAGGUAGGCGGAAUGCAUGGUGUAGCGGUGAAAUGCUUAGAUAUCACAAAGAACCCCGAUUGCGAAGGCAGCUUACUAAACUGUGACUGACAUUGAUGCUCGAAAGUGUGGGUAGCAAACAGGAUUAGAUACCCGAGUAGUC